This 492-nucleotide ribosomal RNA is filed under the name uncultured bacterium. RNAcentral describes it as "partial 16S ribosomal RNA". It matches the Rfam family "Bacterial small subunit ribosomal RNA", at positions 29 to 507 of the family's 1533-position model. The record is from RNAcentral.
AGUGAACGCUGGCGGUAGGCCUAACACAUGCAAGUCGAACGGCAGCACAGUAAGAGCUUGCUCUUACGGGUGGCGAGUGGCGGACGGGUGAGGAAUACAUCGGAAUCUACUUUUUCGUGGGGGGUAACGUAGGGAAACUUACGCUAAUACCGCAUACGACCUACGGGUGAAAGCAGGGGAUCUUCGGACCUUGCGCGAUUGAAUGAGCCGAUGUCGGAUUAGCUAGUUGGCGGGGUAAAGGCCCACCAAGGCGACGAUCCGUAGCUGGUCUGAGAGGAUGAUCAGCCACACUGGAACUGAGGCACGGUCCAGACUCCUACGGGAGGCAGCAGCGGGGAAUAUUGGACAAUGGGCGCAAGCCUGAUCCAGCCAUACCGCGUGGGUGAAGAAGGCCUUCGGGUUGUAAAGCCCUUUUGUUGGGAAAGAAAAGCAGCAGGUUAAUACCCCGCUGUUCUGACGGUACCCAAAGAAUAAGCACCGGCUAACUUCGUG